GACGAACGCUGGCGGCGUGCUUAACACAUGCAAGUGGAGCGACGAACCAGGGCUUGCCCUGGGGCAGAGCCGCGAACGGGUGAGUAACACGUGGGUAACGUGCCCCAAUGAUCGGGACAACCCGGGGAAACCCGGGCUAAUACCGAAUGUACUCCCCUCACACCAGUGAGGGGUGGAAAGGAAGCUUCGGCCUCCGCAUUGGGAUCGGCCCGCGGCCCAUUAGCUUGUUGGUGAGGUAACGGCUCACCAAGGCUGCGAUGGGUAGCUGGUCUGAGAGGACGAUCAGCCACACUGGGACGGAGACACGGCCCAGACUCCUACGGGAGGCAGCAGUGGGGAAUCUUGCGCAAUGCGCGAAAGCGUGACGCAGCAACGCCGCGUGGGGGAAGAAGGCCUUCGGGUUGUAAACCCCUUUCAGGAGGGACGAAGCGUGGGCGGUUAAUAGCCGGCCCACGUGACGGUACCUCCAGAAGAAGCCCCGGCUAACUACGUGCCAGCCGCCGCAGUAA
This 509-nucleotide ribosomal RNA is filed under the name uncultured bacterium. RNAcentral describes it as "partial 16S ribosomal RNA". It matches the Rfam family "Bacterial small subunit ribosomal RNA", at positions 28 to 523 of the family's 1533-position model. The record is from RNAcentral.